UCCGGUUUGUCACCGGCAGUCUCCCUGGAGUGCCCUUGCGUAGCAACUAGGGACAAGGGUUGCGCUCGUUGCGGGACUUAACCCAACAUCUCACGACACGAUCUGACGACAGCCAUGCAGCACCUGUGCAUGAGCUCCGAAGAGGGCCCCUGGUUUCUCAGGGGUUUCCCAUGCAUGUCAAGCCCAGGUAAGGUUCUUCGCGUUGCGUCGAAUUAAACCACAUGCUCCACCGCUUGUGCGGGCCCCCGUCAAUUCCUUUGAGUUUUAAUCUUGCGACCGUACUCCCCAGGCGGAUGACUUCACGCGUUAGCUGCGUUACUAAGGGAUUUAACUCCCCCAACAACUAGUCAUCAUCGUUUAGGGCGUGGACUAC
Molecule: unclassified non-coding RNA, 373 nt
Filed under: uncultured Pseudomonadota bacterium
Lineage: Bacteria; Pseudomonadati; Pseudomonadota
Description: uncultured proteobacterium contains 16S-23S intergenic spacer region
Source: RNAcentral